Molecule: long non-coding RNA, 1630 nt
Organism: Herpailurus yagouaroundi (jaguarundi)
Lineage: Eukaryota; Metazoa; Chordata; Mammalia; Carnivora; Felidae
Exons: 2
Source: RefSeq, a predicted model, not a curated record
CCCCCCGCCGCCCGCCGCCCGGCCUCGGCCGCGCUGGAUGUGUGCGCGGCGCUGGCGCUCGGCCGCCGCCAGCUGCUGCUCUCGUACGGAUUUGGGUCCCGUGCAUCCGCUUUCAGACUUUCGCGAGGAACCGAGGACAGACUUGCGGACGCAGCCCGGUCGGAGUUGGGCGUUUUCUCUUCGUGUGUUUGGCCGCUUUUUUCCCCCUGGUCUCUGCCGAUCCCCCAUCGUGAGCCCUGCUAAGGAACCAAACCAUGAACUUGGGGCUGACAGGACCGCUUAACCCUUUGCGACCAGGCAUCAGAUGCCAGCUCUGAAAAGCUCUUCAAUACUGUUAUUGUAAACAAAGGUAAGACACCUUCGUUCUGAGCAAUGGCUGAUUUUUGUAUUUGUUUCAUUGUCAUUGCCUAGAAAAUCAGAAUAAAAAACAAACGGCCUUUCAUUUUUCACUCUGGAGCCACGAUUCACCCUGUGUGUUUUUUGCCUGAGACAGAUUCUGUAUGCUUUGGUGUUGUAUUCCAGAAUGGUUUCUUUUUGAAGAAUACGCUGAAUCCUUAUUUAAAUUGCUUUGACUAAGAAAUCACUGCUAUCUAUGUGAGUUUAAUUUAAUGCAGGAAGCGGUAAUGGAGAAUAAUAGUUCUCAAAAUGCCUUCACUUUAUUGUUACUUAUCAACUACCCCGCAGUCGGAGAACUAUAAAUAGAACUAUAAAUAGCUGAUUCGUCCUGCAGACCCUGAUAACCAGUGGAUGUUUAGUACGCACUGGCUUAUGGUCAUAAACCAAGCCUCAGUCUGCUGUGGGCUUUCUGAGAAGUUCAUAAAUGAGCAAGAGGGCAAAACUUAAAUAUGUGCUGUCCCAUUAAUUUCUUCCAAACUGCAAUAUCAGACUAAGACGGGCUAAUGAUGUAACAGUGCAUUAAGGGAAAACCUGUCCUCGAUCACUACAGUUUUCAUUUGUAGCAGUGUUGUUGGAAAUCACGGAAUCGAAGGGAGUCUCCCCAAUCACUGCCUUCGCAAAGGUGUAUAAUUGGAAAGGUAUAAAUUACAUACACUGAGUGACUUUCUCCCCUUCGCUGUGGAACCUGAUUUGGGUGCUUGCAUGGUCGGUACUAAAUACAGACGGGGUGCUGUCUGUGGUAGUCUCCUGCUGUUGUUACCUGGGACCAGUACUUGGUACAAGUUACAGAGUGGGGCCUCCCUGGAGUGGAGGAAUUUGAAGCCACUUCCACAUCCGCUUAGUUGCCUUGGCCAGCAUUUUUGCAAGCUGGGUUCAGUAAGACACAUUUCCAAGUGCCGGGUUUUUGGUUGUGUUUUUGUUUUUUGUUAUUUGUUUUGUUUUUUUGUUGUUGUUUUUUUUUUUUUGAGCUCCCAGAUUAUUUCAGAAUUUGAACCCAACUGCCAUUUUAAAUAGUACAUUAUGUUUAGAGUUCCCUUGAGGUGUCGAUGCUAGUGUGAUGGCUGCUACUCCCAGAAUUAUUGUCACAUUGAGUUUUUAUCUUUUUUAUGGCAUGAUGGAUGGAGUAUUCCGGUUUUAUAUGUCAUCAUAUUUUUUGAUGGACUGGAAGUUUGUAUAAAUUUGCUAUCCAUGAGGCUAAAAGCCCAAUAAAAGAAGAUGCUUGUGGUUCAUAGCA